This 1326-nucleotide long non-coding RNA is filed under the name Heterocephalus glaber (naked mole-rat). Its description in RNAcentral is "lncRNA (ENSHGLG00100051496.1)". Lineage: Eukaryota; Metazoa; Chordata; Mammalia; Rodentia; Bathyergidae. The record is from RNAcentral.
UUUCCACAUCUGUAAAUGGAGUUAGCAAUAAUAUAUAAUUUAUUCAUUGGGGGGACAAUGACAUACUAUAAUAGUUUUGAGUUCCUAACUUACUUCCUGGUAUAUUGCAUUUAUCAUACCCCUUACAGUUGUUUAUAAUGUCAUUAAAGUGUCUUUUCCCCUUGUAAAUUCAAGAAUUGUUAUUACAGUCUUUAGUGAACAAUAGGUACUUAAGAAAAUAUACUUUCAAUAAUUUAUUCACAAAUACUGUUUAUUGAGUGACUACUUCAUGCUGCAUACUCUUCUUGGAUAUAGAGGAUACACUAUAAUGAAUGUAAAUAUUGCUUCUAUACAGUGAUGGAGAUAGAUAUAAACAGAUAAUCAAGGAAGCAAAAAUAAACAAAAGCCUCUAUAGCUAUGAUAGCUUAUAAUGUUGUAAGAAAGAAAAUAAAAAGGAAUUAUGACACAGUGACCAUAUCAUGUUUGAGGGUGUGAAGAUAAUGAUAACAUUUGUAUUUGUUUAAAUACCCAUCAAUAUCACAUAUUUUAUUAGCAACAUCUUCUUUGUAAUGACAGAUAUAGCAUGUGUCAUGUGUAUUUGCAAUAAUUUCUGGCAAGUUUCUAAGGGAGACAGAUCCUGUUCAAUGUUAAAAAGCAGGGUAGUGUGGAAAGAGUGAUCCUUUCCAGCUCUACCCUUUCCAGAGUGCUAGUUCUUGGCAUGCUGCACUCUGGCUGCCCCAGAACUCGUGUGAGUGGGAGUGUAUGAGGUACAGUCAGACUAUUUCCUUGCUGGGUCACUCAGGGUCAUGACAACAGAGAUGUCACACUCAGAUGAUUUGGGCAAGGAGAUGUUCAGAAGUAGAACAAUCACUGAGGUGAGGAGAGUUCAGUGAUCAAAGUCUACUGAAGUGUCAGACUGGUGUGGCUGCUGUGAUCAUAGCAAUGGCCAUUAGACACAAACAGCAGAAUAGCAAAGCAAUUGUAGGGCCAGAAAUGCCCAGUCAUGUCCUCUUUUACUUCUCAUUUUCCUGGUGGACACUCUCAUUAACCAAAAUGAAAAUGAAAGACAAAGAAUAAGGAAGCCUCAGUGAUGCAACCCAUAAAAGGCAAUGUCUUAUUCUGUAUUCUGUGGCUAUAAUAAAAUACCUGAGUCUGGCUGCUUUAUAAAAAAAAAGUUUACUUGGCUCACAGUUCUGGAGGUUUAAAUUCCAUGACUGGGUAACUAUUUGUUCAGCUUUCAUAACUCAUGGCAUCACAAUGGUGGGAGCCUGUGAAGAGGUGAUCAGAUGGUGGGGAGUGGCUAGCCUUGCUCUUUUUAUAAUAACUCGCUCUGGUGAGAACUUGUUC